UGAACGCUGGCGGCGUGCUUAACACAUGCAAGUCGAACGGUGAAAGAGGAGCUUGCUCCUCUGGAUCAGUGGCGAACGGGUGAGUAACACGUGAGUAACCUGCCCCAGACUCUGGGAUAAGCACUGGAAACGGUGUCUAAUACCGGAUACGAGCUUCAGCCGCAUGGCUAGGAGCUGGAAAGAAUUUCGGUCUGGGAUGGACUCGCGGCCUAUCAGCUAGUUGGUGAGGUAAUGGCUCACCAAGGCGACGACGGGUAGCCGGCCUGAGAGGGUGACCGGCCACACUGGGACUGAGACACGGCCCAGACUCCUACGGGAGGCAGCAGUGGGGAAUAUUGCACAAUGGGCGCAAGCCUGAUGCAGCAACGCCGCGUGAGGGACGACGGCCUUCGGGUUGUAAACCUCUUUUAGUAGGGAAGAAGCGAAAGUGACGGUACCUGCAGAAAAAGCACCGGCUAACUACGU
This 465-nucleotide ribosomal RNA is filed under the name uncultured bacterium. RNAcentral's name for it is "bacterial SSU rRNA". It matches the Rfam family "Bacterial small subunit ribosomal RNA", at positions 30 to 506 of the family's 1533-position model. The record is from RNAcentral.